This 611-nucleotide ribosomal RNA is filed under the name Porphyra corallicola. RNAcentral's name for it is "eukaryotic LSU rRNA". It matches the Rfam family "Eukaryotic large subunit ribosomal RNA", at positions 364 to 975 of the family's 3401-position model. Lineage: Eukaryota; Rhodophyta; Bangiophyceae; Bangiales; Bangiaceae. The record is from RNAcentral.
AUGCAAAGAACUUUGAAAAGAGAGUUAAACAGGGCUUGAAACCGUUAAGAGUGAAGCGUAGGAGGCCAGUGAUCAUGGGGCCAGAUCACCAGACGCCCGCAAGGGCGUUGUACCGUUCUGGUCACGGGGCAGCGCCGGCUGGAGGCGGGCGAUAAGGGUUGGUGGUCGAGCAAUUUAUUUUGCACCACCUCUCCCGUUAGCUUGCACCCCGGCCGAGGGAUCCGCAGUCAAAUGCGUGAGGGCGCUGYCAAAAUGGCCUUUUACAUCCCGUCUUGAAACACGGACCAAGGAGUCUAACAUACCCGCGAGUGUUUGGGUGGUCAAACCCGGACGCGCAAUGAAAGUAAAGGGCGCUUGUCGUCUAAGGUGGGAACCCGUCAAACGGUGCACCAUUGCCCGACCAUGAGCCCCUCGGGGUGAACGGUUUGCGGAAGAGCGAGUAUGCUGGGACCCGAAAGAUGGUGAACUAUUCCUGAGUAGGGCGAAGCCAGAGGAAACUCUGGUGGAGGCUCGUAGCGAUGCUGACGUGCAAAUCGCUCGUCGAACUUGGGUAUAGGGGCGAAAGACUAAUCGAACCAUCUAGUAGCUGGUUCCCUCCGAAGUUUCCCUCA